AGAGGUCUUGGGUUCCUGAGAUAGACGUGCAUGCUCCUCGUCUUCUUCGGGUCUUCCACGUUCGUUUUCCUUCUAAGCCCGGUCCCAUCCGCCCGGUGGGCGUUUCUAGAAGGGGGGGUACUGUUGGUGCUGAAUCCAGGGAAGACAUCCUCUCUGUUUAGGGGCUCCCUGCCCCUAGCAUUUCGGCAUAUUCCGGCCGUUUUCGCGCCAGCCGCGCUAGCUCCUCCCCCUUUUAUGGCGCGACGGCUAGCGUCGACGUCAUGACGUCGGCAUUUACAUGAAGUGCCGGGAACCGCUAUUCCGGAC
Molecule: non-coding RNA, 306 nt
Organism: Pelobates cultripes (western spadefoot toad)
Lineage: Eukaryota; Metazoa; Chordata; Amphibia; Anura; Pelobatidae
Source: the annotation of a GenBank genome assembly